RNAcentral lists this ribosomal RNA (488 nucleotides) under uncultured bacterium. RNAcentral's name for it is "bacterial SSU rRNA". It matches the Rfam family "Bacterial small subunit ribosomal RNA", at positions 28 to 509 of the family's 1533-position model. The record is from RNAcentral.
GACUAACGCUGGCGGCGUGCCUAAUACAUGCAAGUCGAACGGGAUUCUUUGAUCAGCUUGCUGAGAGAAGGAUCUAGUGGCGGACGGGUGAGUAACGCGUGGGAAUCUGCCUCUUACUGGGGGAUAACAGUGGGAAACUACUGCUAAUACCGCAUAAGAUCUUCGGAUGAAAGGUGCAACUGCACCGGUAAGAGAUGAGCCCGCGUCCCAUUAGCUAGUUGGUGAGGUAAAGGCUCACCAAGGCGACGAUGGGUAGCCGGCCUGAGAGGGUGAACGGCCACACUGGGACUGAGACACGGCCCAGACUCCUACGGGAGGCAGCAGUAGGGAAUCUUCCGCAAUGGGCGCAAGCCUGACGGAGCGACGCCGCGUGAGUGAUGAAGGCCUUCGGUCGUAAGACUCUGUUCUUGAGGACGAAUAAGCCAGGGAGUGGAAAGACCCUGGUGAUGACUGUACUCAAGGAGAAAGACUCCGGCUAACUACGUGCC